RNAcentral lists this ribosomal RNA (254 nucleotides) under uncultured bacterium. RNAcentral's name for it is "partial 16S ribosomal RNA". It matches the Rfam family "Bacterial small subunit ribosomal RNA", at positions 524 to 776 of the family's 1533-position model. The record is from RNAcentral.
UACAGAGGGCGCGAGCGUUGUCCGGAAUCACUGGGCGUAAAGGGCGCGUAGGCGGCCACCGCAAGUCGACUGUGAAAUCUCCGGGCUUAACUCGGAAAGGUCAACUGAUACUGUGCGACUAGAGUGCAGAAGGGGCAACUGGAAUUCUCGGUGUAGCGGUGAAAUGCGUAGAUAUCAGGAGGAACACCGGUGGCGCCGGCGGUGCUCUUGGCCGACACUGACGCUGAGGAGCGAAAGCGUGGGGAGCGAACAGG